CUGUUUGAUUGCUCCGAAUGACCUCUGAGAUGGGGUUUGGCGAGAGAUCGAAUGAUAAGCGUGGAUUAGGCUGAAAAGGGAUAUCUGCCUCCAGUCUAUGCGGAGAAUUGGGGUGGAAAUGGAGAUCCUCCCAGAACCUCCAUUUAAGAAGGGCACCUAAGGCAGUCAUCUCUUCAUUUCCCACCUGGCUGGACUCUUCUGAACUUCUCCAUCACACCCCCAGGUCAAGUACCUUCUUUCACCACUAUGGCAUCCUCUAAUACUCCCCAGUUUUUCUGUUCUCUUUCAUUCAUUUUUACCUGUUAGAUUGUAAGUACCUUGAAGGCAGGGACUGUAGGCUUUUGCUUUGCUUUAUAUUACUAUUUCCAGUUCUUAGCACAGUGUCUGCUAUAUAGUAGGUACUUAAUUAAUGUGUAUUGACAAAUAACUAGCAUUCACUAAGCACCUACAUACUGUGAACCAGAAAGAGGUUAAGUGCUAAGAAUCAAAGGAUCUAGAGGUUUUUAGUCUAGAGGAGAGGAAUUUGGGUGGGGAACAGUGUUGGGUGGGAAAAUAUGGUAAGUGUGAGGGACAAUAGGGCAUCAGAGUUGUCUUCCAUUAUUUGAAGGAUUUAUUUAGACUUGUUUAGAGUAUUCCCAGAACAAAGAGGAAGGAGUUGAAGUUUCAAAGUGCCAGAUUUAGGAUUGAUAAGCAGUAGUAAUAGUAUAUAUAGGCUGUAGUAAAGAAGUCUGGAUGACCAUCUGCCAAUUACAAUUACAAUGUAGAAGGGUUAGGGUUCAGGCCCAUGAUUACAAUUCUUCUUCCUUUCAUGCUUCCUGUUGAUUCCUUGGCAGGUCGUGUUGCCAGGAUUGAGUAUAUUGUAUGAAUGAAGAACUAUGGACCAAAUGUCUGGAUGAGAAAAAGCUGUAAUAUAACAAUAUUUUGCUUAGGAGGUUCCUAGGGAAUUGAUUAUGACAUUUCUUAUGACUAUUCCAUUUGCUACUGGGAAUGUUUUCACUUCUACCCCUACCACCAUACAUUAUUCUUGAUUCUUUUUGAUCUCAGGGUCAACUCAAAUUCCUAUAUUGCUUCAGAAUUACCAAGACAAAGUCAGAGCCCCAUUAAAAGAAGUGUCCUUACCCACCUCAAAUGGCUCUAGAACUCACUUACCUCUUUUUCCAAUUGAAGCCAGCCCCCUGCAUCCCUUAGUAGAAAAAGAGCUCCUUAUGGACCCACAUGCUUUCUCCCUAAUGCUUUCAUAACUAUUUCUACAAUUGGCCCUAUUUGAACAAAAGCCACUACAACUCCUAGCCAAGGACGGCACUGCCUUUAAUUCAGGUUUCUCAAACAAGAAAGGAAACUGACUGAUUACUUCGAAAUGUAAACUAUACCCCUAAAGGGAUUCCAUUUUCUUCUUAGAGUUUAUCAUUCUCCCUAUUCCAUUAUGACCAUUAGACAAACAUGUAGAAUAAAAGCUAGAGUUGGGAAGAGAUUUGUUACUGGGAUUCAGCCCUGAACAGAACUUCAUAUAAACAAAGCUGAUCCACUAUCCUGCUUGUUCUGAAUUGUUACUGUUAUUUCCUAUGGGGGUAGAUAUCUGGGGGCAGUCUGUGAAGGGGCGAAACUGAACAGGAAGGAUUUUGUAUAUUAAUUCUAUAACAAAAGUUGCCUCCUUCAACCUUUGUAUUUGAGGGGAAUUGUUUGUCCUAUGAAGACAUUAACUCCUCAUCUCUAUUAAUGGUUGCAUGGGACUGAGUUAAUAAGGUUGGUCAAGUCUACAGAACAGCAAAAUCUCUGAGAUCACAAUGUUCUUGUCCACAUGUAGAAACCAAUAUUUAGAGCUUUAUAUAAAUACUCUGAUGGAUGCUAAAUGUCCCCUUAGCUUUGCUACCACAUCCCAGCUUCCACUUCCCCAGAGUGCUGCCUUCCCCCUCCAGAGGCCAAAGUGCAGAGGUGGUGUGUAUACACAUUAAAAAAAAAAAGGCUCCAUCAGCAGCAUAUUUCUUUAAUCAUUAUUAUUUACAUUUUAUCAUCUGACAAAUGGACUUACAGAGAAUAAAUAAAGAAGAAAAGAAAA
Molecule: non-coding RNA, 2056 nt
Organism: Monodelphis domestica (gray short-tailed opossum)
Lineage: Eukaryota; Metazoa; Chordata; Mammalia; Didelphimorphia; Didelphidae
Source: RefSeq, a predicted model, not a curated record